Long non-coding RNA from Carassius auratus (goldfish), 2055 nucleotides. The record is from Ensembl. NCBI's taxonomy places the organism in Eukaryota, Metazoa, Chordata, Actinopteri, Cypriniformes, Cyprinidae.
AUUGUCGACAUUGAACAACUCUUCAUCUCAUGACGUCAAGCUAAAAUACAGCCAGAAGGAGCUACAGAUGUUCAUCGCUGGCAAAAGAACUAAAAGAGUUCCAGAAGUCAGAUUUCCUGUGGUCAUUCUUCCAGCUGAACAACAGUGUCCUCCCUGGCAAGGCCCACCUGGAGGAUUCCAGCCAUAUCCACCACCUCAGCCUAACCUUGUGCCUUAUCCUGGUGAACUACCUCCUCCACCUGCAGGACUUUACCCUAAUCUGUAUAACCCUACAGUGCUGCCCUAUCCAGGAGCUGCUGCAGGGGUCUAUCCAAAUCCACAUGCCAUCCAGCCAGGUUUCCUUCUGCACCAGUUUAUGAUCUAAAGCACUAAAGAUUCCUCUCCAAAAGAGCCUUAUUAGUGUUUUUUACCAGCGAAACUUGUGCUGUGUCAAUGAAAACUUCAUGGAUUUAUCUGCAUGAUUUCACCUCAGGUGCCCAUUACAUUGUGCCUUGUAAACUCUGCACUCUCUUGAUGAUAUUACUGCAGUUUUAUUGAUACUGUGUUCUUUUCAGAACAUAUUGCAGUUUAUCUGUUUGUGCUUUUAACCUCCAGCCAUAAUGAAAUAGUCUAUCGACUGUAACCACUGUUUGUAUGAUAUGCUUUACCAAAGACUGUAACAAGUCUGAACAAAUAUCUAUGAAAAUAAAAGAGGAUUGCUCCACUGUGCUACAGUAAUGGAUUAAGAUUCUGACAAAUAAUCCCUAGAGAAACUACUACAUCACAAAUCACCAAACACCAUUUACCUUAACCCCUUGCUUAAGUCUUUGUCUCACAAAUUAAGUCCACGUUUUAAACUAAACUAAACUUGAAACUCUCAGACAUCUUAAUAUCAAAACGCCUUGCAUUUUUACUAGGUGGGGAUGUGUCUGUUUCGCUUAAGAUAAAUGUACAUGAGAAUUUGAACAAUUAUCUCCACCUUCAACUCCACUGCACGCAAAGUUACUGUUCUCCAACAAACCCCUAGAGAGCAGCAGAAACCAGCGUAACUCAUGGUUCACAAACCCGGGUGUACUUGACUGAAGGAAGACAGCGGGAUCGAUUGUGCAGCCGCUAGGUGGCGCAGAAGUCUUCAGAACUGAAGCAGUACUGUAGAUCUAGAGCAGAUAAAUGAUACUGGGUGAGUUGGCCUAAUAUCUGAGUGUGUGUGUGUGUGUAUAUAUAUAUAUAUAUAUAUAUAUAUAUAUAUAUAUAUAUAUAUAUAUAUAUAUAUAUACUAAAUAUAUAUAUAUAUAUAUAUAUAUAUAUAUAUAUAUAUAUAUAUAUAUAUAUAUAUAUAUAUAUAUACUAAAAAAGAGGGUUCCUACAAAAAUACUCAGUUCAAGUUAGAUAUGUUAUGUUAUGAAAACUGGUGCAAUUGGCAUCAUAUUACCAUCUUUAUCAAAAUGUAACAAGGCAGCAUGACGUGAGCAACAUUGAUCUCUUUAUCUGCAUCUAAACCAUUCAUAAUUUGACUAAAAUCAGUUGUGUUGUUUAAGUCCUAAUAUGUUUGGGGGUUAUAAUAAAAAGCUAUAUCUAAGCUAUAUUUUGUUCCUGUUGUGCAUACCCACUGAGUAACCAGAGCCCAAAUUCAAUUUAUUUAACAAUCUAUAACAUGUUACUCUAUAAACAAACUGUUCAAAUAUUAAUGUGGGGCUCUACCUAACCGUGUGAAAAUGUCUAUGCUUCCACGUAUUCUUUUAAUACACUGCUCAGCUGUUCUCUGUUAUUUGUCUCCUGAGUCCCGGUCAAAGAACUGCACAAAAAGCGGAAGAAGGGGGACGGCUAGCAGCCGCGCGCAUGCGCACUAACUUGUUUUUCACAAGAGCAGCGCUUAAAGUGAGCCGGUGGCGAAAUCUCACCGUCUUUCAUUGCAGACCAUCAAGCCUUCACCGAGAACCGAUAACAGCAUCUGCUGCUGUUAUUCAGCUCUCGCAUCUCAAUGACACUAUCCAGUGUUGACUCUCGCUUUUUUUCCUAAGAGAUUAUUUUCGUAGACUUUGCCUUUUGGUUUUGUUUUGUCUACAGAACUUUGUA